This 439-nucleotide ribosomal RNA is filed under the name uncultured bacterium. Its description in RNAcentral is "partial 16S ribosomal RNA". It matches the Rfam family "Bacterial small subunit ribosomal RNA", at positions 339 to 795 of the family's 1533-position model. The record is from RNAcentral.
CUACGGGCCGCUCCAGUGAGGAAUAUUGCGCAAUGGGGGAAACCCUGAUGCAGCAACGCCGCGUGGAGGAUGACGCAUUUCGGUGUGUAAACUCCUUUUAUAUCCCAAGAUAAUGACGGUAGGAUAUGAAUAAGCACCGGCUAACUCCGUGCCAGCAGCCGCGGUAAUACGGAGGGUGCAAGCGUUACUCGGAAUCACUGGGCGUAAAGGGCGCGUAGGCGGGUUGUCAAGUCUUGAGUGAAAUCCAACGGCUCAACCGUUGAACUGCUUGAGAAACUGGCAGCCUAGAGUGAGGGAGAGGUAGAUGGAAUUGGUGGUGUAGGGGUAAAAUCCGUAGAGAUCACCAGGAAUACCCAUUGCGAAGGCGAUCUGCUGGAACUCUACUGACGCUGAGGCGCGAAAGCGUGGGGAGCAAACAGGAUUAGAUACCCUAGUAGUC